UACGUAGGGUGCAAGCGUUGUCCGGAAUUAUUGGGCGUAAAGAGCUCGUAGGCGGUCUGUCGCGUCGGCUGUGAAAUCCCGAGGCUCAACCUCGGGUCUGCAGUCGAUACGGGCAAACUGGAGUGUUGCAGGGGAGACUGGAAUUCCUGGUGUAGCGGUGAAAUGCGCAGAUAUCAGGAGGAACACCGGUGGCGAAGGCGGGUCUCUGGGCAACAACUGACGCUGAGGAGCUAAAGCGUGGGGAGCGAACAGG
Molecule: ribosomal RNA, 253 nt
Filed under: uncultured bacterium
Lineage: Bacteria
Description: partial 16S ribosomal RNA
Rfam family: Bacterial small subunit ribosomal RNA
Source: RNAcentral